This is a long non-coding RNA of Corythoichthys intestinalis (scribbled pipefish), 1203 nucleotides long. RefSeq lists it as uncharacterized. The transcript is spliced from 3 exons. The record is from RefSeq and is a predicted model, not a curated record. NCBI's taxonomy places the organism in Eukaryota, Metazoa, Chordata, Actinopteri, Syngnathiformes, Syngnathidae.
UGGCCGUCAGGUGGAUGAGGGGAAGGGGAGGCAGGAGGAGAGACCCGCGGCCGCCGGCGGUCCGAGUGGAGGGGAAUCUGAACUUCAGGUAAGAAGUGUUGAACUGCAGUCUAUCUGGUUCAGAUAUGAAUUAAGCGUGGGUGUAGUUUAUUUUCAUUGCGCUCGCUAACUCUUAACACCGCCAGUAGUUAUAAUUAGGCCGUUAAGCAAUUUAGUGCAUGCAAACUAACAUGAUGGGGUUUCUCUAAUGCUGGACGGUUUCUAUGAUGCUAUUCUAGUUGUAAUUAUGUUAGUGCUUAAGUAAAUUUAUUUUAUUAAUUUAGUUAGUUAAGUAUUAUCUCUAUUUGUUAGGUAGUUAAAAACUUUAUAAGGUCGAGCGGACGCGCCGGCGCGUCCGAGCACAUAACUUUUUUUUUUUUUUUGUAAGACAACACAGGCAAGAUCUAGCCUGGUAGUUUCCAUUCAAACUUCUGUCAAAAGUGCGAAAUCUCAACUAUAUGACAGUUUAUGAGUGGUCUCAAUUGGCCAAGUUAAACCAUAUUUAUGAUAAGUCGAUCACUCCAUGCAGACUUUUGGAUUCCUCUAAGUACUGUAUAGAAUACGUGAUUCAACUGAGUAAAAAUACCAGCACUGUGAUCAUCAGAGCAAGUCCAUCAGGUGACAUUCUUUUUCACCUCUGUCUCCUUUCACUUUGAAGGUUCCCAUGUUUGAGGAAGCAUUUGGUGUUGCUGUGCAAAGUGUUGCUGCAGUGGAGGUUCAAGGUUACUGUUUAUUGAUAUGGAUCCCAUCAUACUUUGUUCAUUGUUUGUUCAGGAUUUUGCCCUAAGUCUCCGUGUUUGAGGGCCUAUUCUGUGGAUAUAUUUAUUUGCACUUUUAUUGAUGCAGUAAAUAAAUAGUCUAUGAAAAAAUCACUAAAUCUGUCAUUUAUUCAUUUUAAUAUAUUCAUCAAUGAUCAUGUCUCACCUCUAUUCCGUAUUAAUCCCUGUCCUAAUUUCAGGAUCCCAUCAUACGUUGUACAUUGUUCAGGAGGUUAACUAGACCAUGCAGCCUUUUGAUAUCCGCUAAGUACUGCAUAGAAUAUUGGGACUGGAAGGAUGGUGUAUGUUUAAGUCUAUUUUAAAGUAUAUAUACACCAACAAGACAGUGUGAAAGCAUUGUCACAACAAAGUUUGUUUUCAUUCAUAGGCUUAAUUGUCUUUCCAU